GACAUCAAAACACGGCUGCUGGCAGAGACUGCGAGCAGAGAAACGUGCGGACGACGAGCCCUUCAACCAGAAGCCUCCGUUCACUUCUACAUCUUUGUGGGGGAUUUUACCAUAGUCAGAUCGAAGUAUUGUUCCCAAGACUGUUUGAUGUUGCAACUUGUUAAUCAGUUCAAACCCAUCUAAUAUCUGACCUACAAAAGGCGAAUCAUCCCUGUGCUGGAUCUCUGAGCCCUUUUAAUCAAUUUCAGCAGUUCGAUCUUCGUCUUAUUAAAAUUAAAGUCAUAGGUCGUGUCUCUCAGCUUCCCUGCAAACCCCUUCCCACUCUCCCAGUAAAUGGCCGGGAUUCAAAGGAAAGUGAU
Non-coding RNA from Pimephales promelas (fathead minnow), 359 nucleotides. The record is from RefSeq and is a predicted model, not a curated record. Lineage: Eukaryota; Metazoa; Chordata; Actinopteri; Cypriniformes; Leuciscidae.